Molecule: ribosomal RNA, 253 nt
Filed under: uncultured bacterium
Lineage: Bacteria
Description: partial 16S ribosomal RNA
Rfam family: Bacterial small subunit ribosomal RNA
Source: RNAcentral
UACGGAGGGGUCUAGCGUUGUUCGGAAUUACUGGGCGUAAAGCGCACGUAGGCGGACCAGAAAGUCAGGGGUGAAAUCCCGGGGCUCAACCCCGGAACUGCCUUUGAAACUUCUGGUCUUGAGGUCGAGAGAGGUGAGUGGAAUUCCGAGUGUAGAGGUGAAAUUCGUAGAUAUUCGGAGGAACACCAGUGGCGAAGGCGGCUCACUGGCUCGAUACUGACGCUGAGGUGCGAAAGCGUGGGGAGCAAACAGG